AUUACCUGUAAACAUUUCUUUUUUGGAAGAUUCAAUAUCAUAAAAAUGUCAAAAUCUCAAAUUGAUAAAUAAAUUUCAUGCAGUUACAAUAAAAUUCCAAUUUUUUUCCAGGAGCCUGACAAGUUUUAUCUAAAAUGUUUUGUAGCCUUUAUUAAAGAGAAAUACAAUGUUGAAGAAAAAAAGAUAGGACUUGACCUGCAAAGUAUCAAAAAUUAUCGUAAACGUAUAGUAAUUAGGACAGAGUGGUAUUGACAAAGGUAUGGACAAACCAAUCAAUGGGAACUCAGAAAUAAACCCAAACGUAUACAGACUUGAUUUUAUUUCAGUACAGCCAUGUUAGUUUCAGGUGAAAAGGAUAGAUGUUUUUCAGUGUGUGGUACUGGGACAAUUAUUAGGUUGGUGCAAAAGUAAUUGUGGUUUUUGCCAUUGCUUUUAAUUAUUUUUAAUGGCAAAAACUGCAAUUACUUUUGCACCAACCUAAUAGUUAACUUUGGGGAAAACAUGGUAUUAGACUCAUAACAGUCUUUAGCCAGACUGUUUAAAGACCUGUACGAGAAAAGUAAAAGCAUAUGACUCUUAGAAUCUUAUAUAGAAGAGUAACUUUAUUAACCCCUAAACAUUCCUAUGCGUAUUUCCUAAACACAAGGACAUUCUCUUACAUAACCACAAUUUAAUUAUCAAAAUCAAGAAAUUAACAUUGAUUCACUACUAUAUCUUAAUAUAAAGACCUUAUUCAAUGUUGCCAAUGGCCCCACUAAUGUCCUGAGAGCAUCCUGCAAGAACAGAAUUCUACUGUAACCCCCACUGUGUUCAGUCACUGGCUGUAAGCAACCCUGAGUGAAGGCCGUGGUGGAUCACAACAGCUGGAACUCAGGUCAUUUCUGCUCCCCACAGCAACAGAUCUGGGUGACAAGUUUCUAUAGCUGCUAAUAUAGUUUGGAUAUUGGCUCCACCCAAAUCUCAUGUUGAAAUAUAAUCCCCAAUGUAGUAGGUGGGGCCUAGUGGGAGGUGAUUGGAUCAUGGGGGUGGAUUUCUCAUGAAUGUCUUAGGACCAUUCCCUUGGUGCUGUCCUCGAGAUAGUGAGUGACUUCUCGUAAGAUCUGGCUGUUUAAACAUGUGACACCUCGCUGGUUAUCUCUCUUGCUCCUGCUCCCACCGUGUUAGACAUCUGCUCCUCCUUUGCCUUCUGCCAUGAUUGGAAGCUUCCUGAGGCCUCUGCAGAAGCAGUUGCUGGCGUUAUGUUUUCUGUACAGCCUGCAGAACCAUGAGCCAAUUAAACGUCUUUUCUUUCUACAUUAACCAGUCUCAGGUAUUUCUUUAAAGCAGUGCAAGAAUGGCCUAAUAUAGCUGCUACGGUAGGCCUUCUUGUUACCAAACUAGAAAGGUCAAGAGAAUCCUAGAAGUCCAUCCUGAGCUGAGUUGUUCUGCUGUGCCCACCUCGGCAACUGCCGGCCUCUGACCUCUUGGUAGGCCAGAAUUAGAAACCUCUCUAUGUCUGAGCCAGUGUAAGUCAGGUUUUCUGUUAUUUGUGGUCAAAAGCGUUUCUAACUGACAUAAGCCCCUAAAAAUAGAAAUGCCAGAUUUUUUUUUUUUUUUUUUUUUUUAAGAGACGGAGUCUCGCUCUUUCGCCAAGGCUGGAGUGCAGUGGCAUGAUCUCGGCUGACUGCAAGCUCC
RNAcentral lists this long non-coding RNA (1674 nucleotides) under Homo sapiens (human). RNAcentral describes it as "HSALNT0073946". The stretch from base 390 to 483 matches the Rfam family "mir-548 microRNA precursor family". Lineage: Eukaryota; Metazoa; Chordata; Mammalia; Primates; Hominidae. The record is from RNAcentral.